GGGACCUCUUGCUCCAGCCCUCUCACUUUACCUGCAAGAAAACGCAAACACUCAAACCUGGGAAUAAGAGUCUGUGCAAACUCACUGGCAGGUGGUGACACAGCUGUUUCACCGCUCUCCCGGCAUUAAGUAAGAAAUAAACUCACAGAGGAUUGUUAAGACGGGUAGUUCCUGGUCAUCAGCCUCUCCCAGAAAAAUCUGUCCUACAGGAUGCAAAACUAUUGCACACAAGACACAGCCAAGCAAAGAUAAAAGAUGGAACGUGUUUCUUUUGUCUACUCCCACGGAAACCCCAUUAUCCUUGAAAGACCACGUGACUGCACAGAGCCCAAUCUGGGCUGAGAGAAGGAGUCCGCAAGGACAAGCUGAGUGAGAGUGGAAAAUGAAGUUGUUACCAGUCUGCAAACGGCAGUCCUCACUGCCUAUGAAUAUUUGAAUAAGUAACUAAAAACAGCUCCGUAAACUCUAAGCAACUGUGACAGCUGAAACUGCCUGGAAACCAAGAGUCUGUGAGGACCAGGAUGAAAAGAUCAGUCGUUGCCUUCUGCCUCCUGGUACUGGGGGUCUACAGGGGGACAGUAUCAGAUCUCUGUUGCUCAGGUAUAAGUUAUGGAAAACGUGAUUUGUCUCUGCACCUUCAGAAGCCAAAUAGCCCCCAAACCUCUUGUGUUAUUUUUAACUCAUUAAAAUGCAAUGAUUUCUAACACUA
Chinchilla lanigera (long-tailed chinchilla) is the source of this 709-nucleotide long non-coding RNA. RefSeq lists it as uncharacterized. The transcript has 3 exons. Lineage: Eukaryota; Metazoa; Chordata; Mammalia; Rodentia; Chinchillidae. The record is from RefSeq and is a predicted model, not a curated record.